RNAcentral lists this ribosomal RNA (274 nucleotides) under uncultured bacterium. Its description in RNAcentral is "partial 16S ribosomal RNA". It matches the Rfam family "Bacterial small subunit ribosomal RNA", at positions 523 to 796 of the family's 1533-position model. The record is from RNAcentral.
AUACGGGGGGUGCGAGCGUUAUUCGGAAUUACUGGGCGUAAAGAGCGCGUAGGCGGUCUUUUAAGUCAGGUGUGUAAGCCCGGGGCUCAACCCCGGAAGUGCACUUGAAACUAAGAGACUUGAGUAUGCGAGAGGGAAGUGGAAUUCCUGGUGUAGCGGUGAAAUGCGUAGAUAUCAGGAGGAACAUCAGUGGCGAAGGCGACUUCCUGGACCAAUACUGACGCUGAGGCGCGAAGGCGUGGGGAGCAAACAGAAUUAGAAACCCCAGUAGUCC